Molecule: ribosomal RNA, 299 nt
Filed under: uncultured bacterium
Lineage: Bacteria
Description: partial 16S ribosomal RNA
Rfam family: Bacterial small subunit ribosomal RNA
Source: RNAcentral
CUAUGCGCCUUGCCAGCCCGCUCAGGUGUGCCAGCCGCCGCGGUAAUACGUAGGUGGCAAGCGUUAUCCGGAUUUAUUGGGUGUAAAGGGCGUGUAGGCGGGAAUGCAAGUCAGAUGUGAAAACUAUGGGCUCAACCCAUAGCCUGCAUUUGAAACUGUAUUUCUUGAGUGCUGGAGAGGCAAUCGGAAUUCCGUGUGUAGCGGUGAAAUGCGUAGAUAUACGGAGGAACACCAGUGGCGAAGGCGAUUCUCUGGACUGUAACUGACGCUGAGGCUCGAAAGCGUGGGGAGCAAACAGG